Molecule: ribosomal RNA, 443 nt
Filed under: uncultured bacterium
Lineage: Bacteria
Description: partial 16S ribosomal RNA
Rfam family: Bacterial small subunit ribosomal RNA
Source: RNAcentral
CCUACGGGUGGCAGCAGUGGGGAAUAUUGGGCAAUGGGCGCAAGCCUGACCCAGCAAAGCCGCGUGAAGGAAGAAGGCUUUCGGGUUGUAAACUUCUUUUCUCAGGGACGAAGAAAGUGACGGUACCUGAGGAAUAAGCGACGGCUAACGAAGUGCAAGCAGCCGCGGGAAUACGUAGGUGGCAAGCGUUAUCCGGAUUUACUGGGUGUAAAGGGCGUGUAGGCGGGAAAGCAAGUCAGAUGUGAAAACCAUGGGCUCAACCUGUGGCCUGCAUUUGAAACUGUUUUUCUUGAGUACUGGAGAGGCAUGCGGAAUUCGUAGUGUAGCGGUGAAAUGCGUAGAUAUUAGGAGGAACACCAGUUGCGAAGGCGGUCUGCUGGACAGCAACUGACGCUGAGGCGCGAAAGCGUGGGGAGCAAACAGGAUUAGAUACCCCUGUAGUC